AACUUUCAACAAUGGAUCUCUUGGCUCUCGCAUCGAUGAAGAACGCAGCGAAAUGCGAUAAGUAAUGUGAAUUGCAGAAUUCAGCGAAUCAUCGAAUCUUUGAACGCAUCGUGCGCUCCAUGGUAUUCCGUGGAGCAUGCCUGUUUGAGUGUCAUUCACGUUCUCAACCACAACUGAAUUCUUUUUUCUGUUGUGGCUUGGUUUGGUGGGGGAUUUGCUGGCUUUCACAAGUCUGCUCCACUGAAAUGCAUUAGUGUUAUGAGCUACUACGUGGUUUGAUAUAUUUAUCUAUGCUCUGCUUGUGUGCAGCUGUAUACUGCUUCUCACAAAAAUGUUAUUUGAUUGAUGAAUUUGACGGCAAAUCAGGUAGGACUACCCGCUUAACUUAAGCAUAUCUAUAAGCAGAGGCU
RNAcentral lists this unclassified non-coding RNA (410 nucleotides) under uncultured Inocybe. RNAcentral describes it as "sequence contains ITS2". The stretch from base 1 to 154 matches the Rfam family "5.8S ribosomal RNA". Lineage: Eukaryota; Fungi; Basidiomycota; Agaricomycetes; Agaricales; Cortinariaceae. The record is from RNAcentral.